UACGGAGGGCGCGAGCGUUAAUCGGAAUUACUGGGCGUAAAGCGCGCGUAGGCUGUUGUGUAAGUUGGGGGUGAAAUCCCACGGCUCAACCGUGGAACAGCCCUUGAUACUGCGCGACUUGAAUCCGGGAGAGGGUGGCGGAAUUCCAGGUGUAGGAGUGAAAUCCGUAGAUAUCUGGAGGAACAUCAGUGGCGAAGGUGGCCACCUGGACCGGUAUUGACGCUGAGGCGCGAAAGCGUGGGGAGCAAACAGG
RNAcentral lists this ribosomal RNA (253 nucleotides) under uncultured bacterium. RNAcentral describes it as "partial 16S ribosomal RNA". It matches the Rfam family "Bacterial small subunit ribosomal RNA", at positions 524 to 776 of the family's 1533-position model. The record is from RNAcentral.